UUGUUAUAUACUAUACUUAUUUCAUACUUUACUGCCUUUUAAUCCACAAUCUUAAUAUUAAUCUGUAAAUUUUAAGAUACCAAGGUUUGUGAGUUUUGUUGAUGAUUUUUUCGUAAUAUAGCUUCAUGUUAUGUACGGA
This is a long non-coding RNA of Melitaea cinxia (Glanville fritillary), 139 nucleotides long. RefSeq lists it as uncharacterized. The record is from RefSeq and is a predicted model, not a curated record. The transcript has 3 exons. Lineage: Eukaryota; Metazoa; Arthropoda; Insecta; Lepidoptera; Nymphalidae.